GAAGUUGUCAAAGGUUGCUCUGCUCUCCAGCACUUGGCACGGGCUCCUCUGAAAUGUGAUACCAUUGGUUUUCAGUAAAGGUUCCUUUCUGCAGGGCUGCAAACAGCUCAGCUGCUACCCUGUACACACAGCCCCGGAGCAGAGCGAGCAGCACCUUCCCAGCAGCCUUUUGAACCCGAGACUCUCCCAGAUCCCCUCUUCACCCAGGAAGUUUCCUCUGUGUUGUAGAUUUAGCACCAGACUCCAGUCAUCAGAUCCGAGCAGAGCAGACUCCCCGCUGCACAGUACAGAGGCUUGCUUAAGACAUUUGUCCUUGAAACUGCACCAAACUCUUGGAAGAGCCCAGAACGUAGCUACUUGCUGGUUCAUCAAUGAAGCAACCCGAAGUGAUGAAGAUGUAAGGAACGCAUCCUACGCUAGCACUGUUGCAGUUGGAAAGAGUACAUCAGAGAAAAAGAAGAAAGAAAAAAAAAAGAAAGAAAGAAAGAAAGAAAUCAGGCCAGCUCGAGUUUGGAAAAGAUAAAUAAAUCUAUUUGUUUGGCGGGUUGCAUUUUGCAUUAUGCAUGUACGUAAAAGUGAGGUUUGCUUUGAUCCUGUCUAUUAAAAGUUUAUUUUUAAACUCAGACUGGGCAGGGAUCCAGCAAUGCUCUUUGUCCUGCAACACAUCCUGGGCUUUGGGUCCCCAGCCUGGCAGAACUGUGGGGAAGCAGGAGGAAGAAGAGAACAGUGUGGAUUGUUGAUGGGUGCUCAGGGGUUUUCCCUCCCUUCCUCCCUUCCUCCCUUC
RNAcentral lists this long non-coding RNA (784 nucleotides) under Mus spicilegus (steppe mouse). RNAcentral's name for it is "lncRNA (ENSMSIG00000029610.1)". The record is from RNAcentral. Lineage: Eukaryota; Metazoa; Chordata; Mammalia; Rodentia; Muridae.